AACAAAUGCCCUGCUUCCAGGAAAAGCCUCUAAGCAUCAGGUAACAUCAAAUCGUACCCCAAACCGACACAGGUGGUCAGGUAGAGAAUACCAAGGCGCUUGAGAGAACUCGGGUGAAGGAACUAGGCAAAAUGGUGCCGUAACUUCGGGAGAAGGCACGCUGACACGUAGGUGAAGUGAUUUACUCAUGGAGCUGAAGUCAGUCGAAGAUACCAGCUGGCUGCAACUGUUUAUUAAAAACACAGCACUGUGCAAACACGAAAGUGGACGUAUACGGUGUGACGCCUGCCCGGUGCCGGAAGGUUAAUUGAUGGGGUCAGCGCAAGCGAAGCUCCUGAUCGAAGCCCCGGUAAACGGCGGCCGUAACUAUAACGGUCCUAAGGUAGCGAAAUUCCUUGUCGGGUAAGUUCCGACCUGCACGAAUGGCGUAAUGAUGGCCAGGCUGUCUCCACCCGAGACUCAGUGAAAUUGAACUCGCUGUGAAGAUGCAGUGUACCCGCGGCAAGACGGAAAGACCCCGUGAACCUUUACUAUAGCUUGACACUGAACAUUGAGCCUUGAUGUGUAGGAUAGGUGGGAGGCUUUGAAGUGUGGACGCCAGUCUGCAUGGAGCCGACCUUGAAAUACCACCCUUUAAUGUUUGAUGUUCUAACGUGGACCCGUGAUCCGGGUUGCGGACAGUGUCUGGUGGGUAGUUUGACUGGGGCGGUCUCCUCCUAAAGAGUAACGGAGGAGCACGAAGGUUGGCUAAUCCUGGUCGGACAUCAGGAGGUUAGUGCAAUGGCAUAAGCCAGCUUGACUGCGAGCGUGACGGCGCGAGCAGGUGCGAAAGCAGGUCAUAGUGAUCCGGUGGUUCUGAAUGGAAGGGCCAUCGCUCAACGGAUAAAAGGUACUCCGGGGAUAACAGGCUGAUACCGCCCAAGAGUUCAUAUCGACGGCGGUGUUUGGCACCUCGAUGUCGGCUCAUCACAUCCUGGGGCUGAAGUAGGUCCCAAGGGUAUGGCUGUUCGCCAUUUAAAGUGGUACGCGAGCUGGGUUUAGAACGUCGUGAGACAGUUCGGUCCCUAUCUGCCGUGGGCGCUGGAGAACUGAGGGGGGCUGCUCCUAGUACGAGAGGACCGGAGUGGACGCAUCACUGGUGUUCGGGUUGUCAUGCCAAUGGCACUGCCCGGUAGCUAAAUGCGGAAGAGAUAAGUGCUGAAAGCAUCUAAGCACGAAACUUGCCCCGAGAUGAGUUCUCCCUGAGACUUAGAGUCUCCUGAAGGAACGUUGAAGACGACGACGUUGAUAGGCCGGGUGUGUAAGCGCAGCGAUGCGUUGAGCUAACCGGUACUAAUGAACCGUGAGGCUUAACCUU
Molecule: ribosomal RNA, 1357 nt
Filed under: Salmonella enterica subsp. enterica
Lineage: Bacteria; Pseudomonadati; Pseudomonadota; Gammaproteobacteria; Enterobacterales; Enterobacteriaceae
Also listed under: 1 other name
Description: partial 23S ribosomal RNA
Rfam family: Bacterial large subunit ribosomal RNA
Source: RNAcentral